GGCGGUUCUCAGGUGACGCGCCCCUGCACCCCGGAAUCGGGCUCCCUCCUGUUUGGUUCUGGGUGCAUCACCCAAGAACCAUA
Myotis brandtii (Brandt's bat) is the source of this 83-nucleotide non-coding RNA. Lineage: Eukaryota; Metazoa; Chordata; Mammalia; Chiroptera; Vespertilionidae. The record is from Rfam.